UACGUAGGCAGCAAGCGUUGUUCGGAAUUACUGGGCGUAAAGAGUGUGUAGGCGGUGCUCUAAGUUCGGUGUGAAAUACCCGGGCUCAACUUGGGUGCUGCAUUUGAAACUGUAUAUCUAGAGUGCGGGAGAGGUAAGUGGAAUUCCUAGUGUAGCGGUGAAAUGCGUAGAGAUUAGGAAGAACACCAGUGGCGAAGGCGACUUACUGGACCGUAACUGACGCUGAGGCAUGAAAGCGUGGGGAGCAAACAGG
Molecule: ribosomal RNA, 253 nt
Filed under: uncultured bacterium
Lineage: Bacteria
Description: partial 16S ribosomal RNA
Rfam family: Bacterial small subunit ribosomal RNA
Source: RNAcentral